AGAUCAAUUGGAAGAUGAUGUCAUGCAUGGACUCGAUGAUGACUUUGAGAUCAUAGUUAAUAGAUUGAUAGGACGACCACGGGAUCUGGAAAUCGUCAUAAUAUUAGGCAUGGGUGGCAUUGGCAAAACAACACUCGCUAAAAAAGCUUAUGAUCAUCUUCGAAUCAGGUAUCACUUUAGCAUUCUUGUUUGGGUUACUGUAUCUCAAGGAUUUAGACGUAGAAAUGUAUUGUUACAAGCUUUACAUUGCAUUUCAAAACAAACAGUUAUGGUGAAUGCAAAAGAUUAUGAUAAAAUGUAUGACAAUGAGUUAGCUGAUCUGGUGCAAAAGAGCCUAAAGGGUCCAAGAUACCUUAUUGUUGUUGAUGAUAUUUGGAGUACGGAUGCUUGGCAUAGAAUAAGAAGAAUAUUUCCUAAUUACAACAAUAGUAGUCGAAUCUUAUUCAUUACUGGGGAAACUGAAGUUGCAAUGUAUGCAGAUACUAGCAGUCCUCAUGAGAUGAACCUUUUGAAUUCAGAAAAUGGUUGGAAGUUACUUCGUGAUAAGGCGUUUAGACCAAAUAAUAAUCAUCCUCUUGAAUUGGAAGAAAUUGGAAUGGAGAUAGUAGAAAAAUGUCAAGGACUUCCCUUAACAAUUUCCGUGAUUGCAGAACAUCUUUCCAAAAUGGUCAGGACGAUAGAAGGCUGGAAGGAUGUUGCCCGAACCUUGAGGGAAGUCCUUGCUAGUCAUUCAAAUAAAUGCUAAGGAGUGCUCGGUUUGAGUUACCACUACUUGCCUAAUCGCCUCAAACCUUGCUUUCUUUCAAUGAGUAGUUUCCCAGAGGAUUUUCAGGUUGAAACUUGGAGAUUGAUCCAAUUAUGGAUUGCAGAAGGUUCCAUAAGGACGUCUGGAAGUCGUAAAAGCUUGGAGGAAGUGGCAAUAGAUUAUUUGGAGGAACUUAUUAGUAGGUACUUGAUACAUGCCAAAAAAAGGAGAUUCAAUGGUGAGAUAAAAGCGUGUGGAAUACAUGAUCUACCGCGUGAGUUCAGUUUGAUAGGAGCUGUAAUGACAAAGCACAUGCAUGUUGGGAGAACUUACGUUACUCUUCCAUCACAAAAGCAUACUGUUCGUCACUUCAGUUUUCAAACCUUAUCUUAUUCAGUUGAUGAUUGUUAUAAUCUAUUACCCCCUGUUGCCAGAUCUUUCUACUUGUUUUCUCGAUUGAAUCUACCUCUUGAACCCCGUAUUGAGCUUCUGGGGAUAUUGCCCAUCUACCGUCAUGAUCCAAUAAUACAUGUAUUUUUUCUCUCGUUUCAACCUUCUCGGGGUAUUGGCCAUCUUCAAUAUAGAUGUAAAGUUCGAGUCAUUUCCACUCGUGAUCACAAAGUUGUUUCAUUUGAGAUAUCUCCAAAUUCGAUUUCUGGGCAAUAUUCCUGAAUCAAUCUCAGAGCUUCAGAAUUUGCAAACACUAAUUUGUAGUGGUAAUUCUUACGAUAUAACCCUACCUGGUAAGAUAUGGAUGAUGAAGAACUUGAGGUAUAUACGUCUGCGGGGAGCCACUUAUUUACCCAGUCGUAGAAUAGAAAGUAUUCUAAAUAAGCAUCUAGUGAUAGGGAUGCCAAAUCUAGAGGAAUUUUUUAAUCUUUGUUACGUCAGUUGUACAAAUGGAGUCUUUUAUGGCAUUCCCAAUCUAAAAAGAUUGAUCAUUCGUGUACCUUUUAUCGUACGUACACAACAGUUUUCCCGAUGGGCUCUUGGAUAUGUCCAGCUUGAGGAAACUCGAAAUAUUCAAGUGUUUCUGGAAUAUUCGUUACUCAGAAGGCCCCAUCAUCAGUUUUGUUUUUCCAUCAUCACUUAAGAGGCCGACUUUAUCUAGAUGUUUAUAUUUUCCUUGGGAAGACAUAUUAUCAACUGUUAUCAUGUUGCCAAAUCUGGAAGAGCUCAAAAUUAAAGGUUGUCUAGUCGGUGGAGAUGUGUGGAUAUUAAGUGAUAAAGACAAAUUCAAAAGCUUGAAGUUGUUGUUACUGAACAACAUAAAUCUUAAGCGUUGGGAAGCUAGCAGUAAUAACUUCCCAAAUCAAGAACGCCUUGUUCUGAACUAUUGUGACAUCCUGCAAGAAAUUCCAACAGAUUUUGGGUUAUAUGAUUGCAGCACUACUGCUGAGGAUUCUGCAAGACAGAUUGUACAAGAACACGAGGACAUGGGAAAUAAUUCCCUUAAGGUCUUGUUAAGAUCAGUUAGAACUAGUGCUGACUAGAUGACAGCUGUACAGCAAGUGGUGUAAAAUAUAGCUAGCAAUUAGUUAGAGUUAAUUAGGAUAUUAAAUAGUAGAGCUUGGAUUAAUUGUAGCCAACGGGAUAAAUCAUUUUCUGAAUGAGAAGUUAUUUUUCUCUGUUCUAAUUCUCUCCAACCAACUCUCCUCUUCUUCCUCUCUGAGUCCAUAGUAAACACCAUUAAUGGUGAUAUCUGAGUAAGUCAAGUAAUUCAUCAUGGUAUCAAAGCCAGGUUCGCUGGUCUCUUCGAUCCGCCAAUAGAUCGAUCCGAUAAUUGAUUUCCUGUUGAAUUCAUCCGGUGCAAGUUUGAGUGUUUUGUAUUUUCAAGGUUACAGCUGCAAUGGCGAUCAACAAUGGUGGAAAUCCCAGUACUACUGCAGAUCCAGUUAAUGGUAACACUACCCAGCAUACAGUCAUCGAUCAACAUCAUCCUUUAUUCCUUCAUCCAUCGGACACACCAGGUAGCUCAUUAAUCUCGGUCAAACUUAUUGGUCCUGAAAACUAUUCACUAUGGAGUAGUACUAUGCAUAUUAGUUUAUUGGGGAAAAGUAAAUUAGGGUUUGUUGAUGGGAAAUACCCUAACAACAAUUUGGAUACUUCUUUCCAUGACCUUUGGGUUGAAAUGUAAUGCCAUUGUGCUCUCGUGGAUCAUGAAUUCCGUUAGCACUGAGCUUCUAAGUGGUAUGGUUUACGCGUCGAGUGCUGAUGCUGUGUGGAUGGACCUGAAAGGGAGGUUUGAUAAAGUGAACGGUCCGCGAGUUUUGUUUUCGUACAAGCAAAUUGCUACACUUACACAAGGAGUUUCAUCUGUUUCUAGUUAUUUUUCCAGACUCAAAGAAUUAUGGGCUGAAUUCUAUGCACUCAUGCCUUUCCCUAGUUGUGGCUGUGAGGAAUCCAAAAGAUAUGUUGAACACUUUGAAUAUCAGCAGUUAUUGCAGUUUUUAAUGGGACUAAACGAGUCUUACUGUCAAUCCAGUAAUCAGAUUCUCAACAUGUCACCAACAAUUACCAUUAAUAAAGCCUAUGCAAUGAUUAUCUCAGAAGAGAACAGGUGAACUAUGUCUCAUCAAUCUCACAUUCCUGAAAUCAGGGAAGGUACAACCCUAUUCAGUGGAAAAGGUACAGUACAUGGUGGUGGUAGUUCAGCUGGUUCCAAUCCUCGAUCAGGUGGAGGCUAUUCAAGAGACAAUAACUCUUCAGGGUUCAACUCUGGGGGAAAUUCCUAUAAAAGAGAAAUCAAUUCUUCUGAUGCUAUGGGUGAACGAAAUUCUGGUCCUAACUCAAACUUUGGGAAUGCUGCUAGAGGAAACAGAUAUCCUAGCUCAAACAACACUUAUAGAAUGAAGAAAGGACCAGUGUAUUGUGACUAUUGUCAUUUUAAAGGACAUACAAAUAAAACGUGCUACAAGCUUCAUGGCUAUCCACCUAAUUCAUCACCUAAAAAGAGGUUUGGCUCUGGAUAUACUUCUGGGCAUCCAACAGCUAACUAUUCUCAGGAUGUCUCUAGUUAUGCAGGUGCUAGGCAAUCAACUUCUAUAGCUAACUAUGCAGGAGGAUCGAGUGCAUCUGCAAGUGUUGAUAACAUCAAUUGGAUGCCACCUCAAUUCACUAAGGAGCAAUACACACAGAUCUUACAAAUACUGGAUAAAGGAUCUGACUCAUCUAACUGUGCCAUGUAUGCAAUGUCUACAGGUAUGAGUUCUGACACUAUAACUCACGGUGUUGUGAGUCAAUGGAUAGUAGACUUAAGAGCCUCAAGCCAUAUGGUUGGUUGUCUUAAGUUGCUAGACGAGUUUAAAACAUUUCCACAAGAUCAAAGGGGCAGAGUGCAAUUGCCUAAUGGUGAUAUAGCAAGUGUUACUCACUUAGUCUCUUCUCAUCUAUUUCAAUGACAUAAGAUCUCAAAUGUGAUGCACAAUCCAGCUUUCAGAUAUAAUCUCUUAUCUGUGUCUAAACUAAGGAAAUGAAUUGGGCUAUUUUCUUCUAUCCUAAAUUCUGUAUAUUUCAGGACAUCUUAAGUGGAAAGGUGAAGGGGAUUGGUAGGAAUGAAGAUGGUCUGAAUGUGUUCAACUCAGAUAAUUCAAAGAUAGCAACUAACUCAAUUUCUACUUCUACACCAGUGUCAGUCUGCACUGUUCAGAAUACAUUAAGACCUGAUGUGCUUCUCUGGCAUAGAAGGUUAGGUCAUGCUCCUGUGAGCUCUCUGAAGAUUAUACCUGGUGUACCUAAUGUACUAAAAGAUACUGCUGUAAAAGAUUGUUCUAUAUGCCCUCUAGCUAAGCAGAAUAAGCCUCCUUUUCCUGUGAGUACAUCUGUUACCAAGUCUUGUUUUCAGCUUCUACAUAUAGAUGUGUAGGGACCUUAUAGGGUUCCCACUUAUGAUGGAAAAAACUAUUUCUUGAAUCUUGUAGAUGAUCAUUCUAGAUAUACUUGGAUAUUCUUGCUACCAUCUAAAUGUGAAGUAAUUGUUGUUCUUAGAUCAUUCCUUUCUAUGAUCAGAAAUAUUUACUCUUCUAUAGUGAAAGUUCUUAGAACAGAUAAUGGUAGUGAAUUUUUUUAACUCUCACAUGACUGAGUUACUGCAAACAUUUGGAGUUGAACAUCAGAGUUCUUUUGUGUAUACUUCACAGCAAAAUGGAGUUGCUGAAAGGAGACACAAAUACAUUCUUAAAAUUGCUCUAUCCUUGAGGUUUCAAGCUAAUGUACCACUCAAAUUCUGGGGUGAAUGUGUAUCUGCAGCUGUAUACAUCAUCAAUAGAACACCCUCCUCAGUCCUUCAUGGCAAAGAUCCUAUUACUAUUCUUGAGGGAGCUGCUCCCUCUCUUACUCAUAUGACAGUAUUUUGUAUCUUAGGAUAUGUUACUAAUGUCAAAAGGCAUGAAAAAUUUGCUCCAAGGGAAGUUCCAGCUAUUUUUCUUGGUUACUCAGCAACUCAGAAGGGUUACAAGAUGUACACUCUUUACUCCAAGGAUUUUAUCAUCAGCAGGGAUAUAGUGUUUAGGGAAUCAGUCUUCCCUUUUACAUUCCCCACUAAAGGAUCUCCUUUGUUUCCUACUGUUGAUCUUCCCUCUUACCUUACACUGAUUGUCCUUCAAUUUCUAUACCUUCUUCCACUUCAAGCCAUGCUCCUGCACCUACUACUUCAUCUGAACCACCUUUUAUACCUCAUACUUCAUCUACUGAUAUUCCUACCUCUUCAUCAGAACUUGAACCACCUAUCUCUACUACCUCUUCUUCUUCCAUUCCACUCAAAAAAUUAGCUAGGCCAGUCAAACCUCCCCUGUGGAUGCAAGACUAUAUCACUAAAAAUAAAGGCAAGGCUAGUUGCGGCUACCCAUUAUCUAACUGUCUGAGUUAUACUCAUCUCUCUCCAUCUUAUAGUCUUGCUCUUGCUUCCUAUUCUAAUACUGUAGAACCCCAAUCCUUUGAAGAAUCUGUCCAGGAUCCUAAGUAGGUUGCUGCCAUGAAAGCUGAGAUCUCUGCUCUUGAAAAUAACCACACAUGGAGUGUAGUAGAUUUACCCUCUUCUAAAUAUCCCAUUGGGUGUUAGUGGGUCUUCAAGAUCAAAUAUACUGCUUCAGGUGCCAUUGAAAGAUAGAAGGAUCGACUAGUAGCCAUGGGGUACAACCAUCAGGAGGGACUAGAUUAUACUGAGAUAUUCUCACUAGUGGCAAAGAUGGUCACAGUGAGGUAUGUUCUAGCUAUUGUAGCUGCUGGGGGGUGGUCUAUAUUUCAUAUGGAUGUGCAUAAUGCCUUCCUUCAAGGUGAUUUACUUGAGGAAGAAUUCAUGACUUUGCCACAGGGAUUUGCAAGCCAGAGAGGGACUAAAGUAUGCAGGCUUCACAAAUCCCUCUAUGGGCUAAAACAGGCCCCUAGGCAAUGGAACAAAAAACUCACUGAUGCUUUUAUGUAACUGGGGUUUACUCAGAUUCACUUUGACUACUCUCUAUUCACUAAGAAGGUGAAAUUUGAAUUGAUAGUAGUUCUUGUGUAUGUGGAAGAUUGUUGGUCAUAGGAAGUAGUGCUGAGUUAAUACUGAAGACAAGACAUGACGUACAACUCAAGUUUAAGAUGAAAAACUUGGGUGAACUUAAAUUUUUCUUGGGAAUUGAGUUUGCAAGGUCAUCAAAAGGUAUUGUGAUGAGCCAGAGAAAGUAUGCUCUAGAGCUAAUAGCCGAGAUGGGACUUGGGGGAGCUAAACCAGCUGCAACUCCACUGGAUACUAAUCUGAAACUCACAUCUAUUGAAUUUGAUAAACUUACUAAUCAAAACUCAGGUGAUGGUGAUCCUAUACUAGCAGAUAUUGGACAGUAUCAGAGACUUAUUGGUAGAAUUUUGUAUCUCACUAUGACUAGAGUUGAUAUAUCUUAUGCAGUACAAAUGCUCAGUCAAUUCAUACAUCAACCCAAGCAAUCUCAUCUUGAUGCUGCCAUGAGAGUUGUAAGAUAUAUUAAAGGUGCUCCAGACCUUGGACUUCUCAUGCCAUCUGUAAGUUCUGAAAAAAUGGAAGUAUUUUGUGACUCUGACUGGGGAGGAUGCCUUCAAACCAGAAGAUCUGUGACUGGGUACUUAAACACCUUUGGUGGAGCUAUGGUCUCUUGGAAAUCUAAGAAACUGGUUACAGUAGCAAGAAGUUCUGCAGAAGCAGCAUUCAGGAGUAUGGCCUCAGCAGUUGCUGAAGCAACAUGGCUGGUAAAUGUAUUCAAGGAGAUAGGGAUCAAUAUAAAUGUUCCCAUUCAGAUGUUCUGUGACAGCAAAGCUGCUAUUCAGAUUGCAUCAAACCCAAUAUUUCAUGAAACAACAAAACAUAUUGACAUCGAUUGUCAUUUUGUUAGGGAGAAACUAUUACAAGGAAUGAUCAAGGCUUUUCAUGUAUCUUCCAAGGAGCAAGUAGCUGAAUUGCUCACCAAGAGCCACGGGAAACAUGCACAUGAUUAUUUAUUGUCCAAACUGAUGUUAAAAGAUCUCUUUCAACCAUCAGUCUGGGAGGGUGUUAAGAGCAGUUAGAACUAGUGCUGACUAGAUGACAGCUGUACAGAAAGUGGUGUAAAAUAUAACUAGCAAUUAGUUAGAGUUAAUUAGGAUAUUAAAUAGUAGAGCUUGGAUUAAUUGUAGCCAACGAGAUAAAUCAUUUUCUGAAUGAGAAGUUAUUUUUCUCUGUUCUAAUUCUCUCCAACCAACUAUCCUCUUCUUCCUCUCCGAGUCCAUAGUAAACACCAUUAAUGGUGAUAUCUGAGUAAGUCAAGUAAUUCAUCAGGUCUACAUCCAUAACCUUCGAAGUAAGUUUUACUCUCUCUAUAAAAAAUGAUGGUUUCCCACGUCGAAACUGUUAACUAUUGUUCCACUGUAAAAUGUACAUUUUUCAUUGAUGGGCUGUACUUUAAUGCUUUGAGAUACUGUAUAUCGAUAAUCUUUCUCAAGGAUGGUAGAAACAGUAAGUAAUCUAGGUUUCCGUAGAUAUGUCAGAGAGUAGAAGUGUAUAAUAAUCACGGUGUCAAGGAGUAUGAUAAGUAGCCUAUGAAAGAGAUUCAUUUAGUUUUUGAGAACUUCAACUUCUUUUUUGUCAUGUACUAUUGAUCUCAAAACACAUUGCAAUCAUACAUUAACAUACAAAGCUUCUAAAAUGAAUCAUCAUUUUCUCAUUGAGUACUUUUGCUUCUUUAAGUUUAAUGUGUAUUCAGAAAAGAAAAUUCAUGGGAUGAAAUUGAGAUGAAGAAUGUCUCAUAUAAAGCUACCGAAAACAAAUACCAUGCGUGUUCAACCAAGUUCGUUGUUGUUGUUUUAAUGCAAUUUUCUUCUUAUUGUUGUGUUAUGAACCAGUAGCUGUCCAGAUACUAAUAAACAAUACUAACUAGUUUAAGAACUCUAAUAGCGCUGUUCCAAUGAUAGAUCUUUUUGUUUUCCCAUAUGGAUUAUUUGGCAGAAGAUAAUACACAUAGUGCCAUUCUCUAGGAAACAGAGGCCUCUACCCUUUGCUAUGAUACUAUACGUCAUCUGAUUCUACACAAGAGCAAUAAUCAUCGAAGGGCGGUCAGUUGAAUACCCUACAACUGAAACUUAUGUUGUGUAUAUAUAUUGAUUGAGCCAGAAUUACCACUAAAUGGAAAAAAAAUAUAAAGAAGUAAACACACAAAGUUAAGGGAAUUCAACGUAUGGCAUCUAUACCAUGUAGUUUGUCAGCAAAAGUUAUGGUGGAUCCACCACUGUAUAUAUAUAAGUACCCUUAAUGAAAUUCAUAACUGUGCCACUGCAUGAUACACAAUAUUAAUAAGUGGGAAAUUGUAAUAAGUUCCGGAAGUUAGUUAACACUGGAUAGCUACAGUGUAGUUAGUUACUCAACUACUGUAAAGUUAGUUAAGUAGUUAUAACUAACUCAAGUAGCCUAGUCAAUUGGAUAGUGGGGUCAUGAGCUCUGUAUAAACAUGUAAUCCAUUCGUUUUUCACAUAGUACAAACAUUACUUCUUCCUUCUCAAAAUCUCUCUCUCUCUCUCUCUCUCUCUCUCUCUCUCUAUUUUUUCAAUUCUCAUUCUCAUUAAAUGCUUCCUCGAGUUAGUUACUCUUGAGGCAGUAAUUUCGAUCCUCGAGUUCAUUCGAACUCAUGUAAUCGAUUAAAAGUUGGUAUCAUUGGUAUCAGAGCCAAUAGAAUUCUUGGCAAUUAUGAUGAAAACAGCUCGAUCUAUUGAAAAUUCUCCAGCUGACAUGGUAGAAAUAAGGGAUGUGCUGCAAAAAUUGACAAAGGAUAUGAGCAAUUUGGCAGGGGAAGUUACUAACUUGAACAGGUUGGAUCAGGUGAUACUGGAAUUAAAGGAUCAUUUGGUGAAUUUUGAAGAGAAGAGGAGAGAUAAAUCUCCAUUAGAUCAAGAUGAACCAUCGAGGGUUAGGCAAUCAGUUGAGAGGGAGCUGUCACGACCCAAGUCGGAAUCCUAGCCGCGACGAGCAUCCUGAACCAUAUAGACUCGGGUGCCCCUUUCUGUCUGGUAAUCAUGAACACCAUUCAUAACAAUAAGAAAAAAAAUACGGAAUACCACAAAUGGAAUCAUGGUCAUAAUCUGAGUUCUGUUUAACAGUACAGAAAUAAGUUAAUCAAUAUCUAGACAACAUCUGUUUGAGUCAGCGAAAUCUCUAUUACAUACAGAACUAUCAUACUGUCUGAAACUGGGACAAGUCCCCCAGUGGACCUAAAGCAAAGUAAAUAACAAGUAUCUGGAAAGAAAUAGGCCUUUCGGAAUAAAGAAGGCUCACCAACUAUACACUUCUCUUUGAAUAACUCUACGGCUUAGCAGGACCUCUAGACUGAGCCUAUAUGGGGUCAAUACAAUUGUACUGGUAUGCAGAGCAAUCCAAAAUAAUGCAUUUAUAUAUAUAAAAUAGAUGAGAGCAGGUCAUGAAACAUCAUGCAUGAUAUAGUUUAAAAUGCAUUGGCAAAUCUUUGAUAAUCAUAAAACAUUCUUGUCAAUGCAAUUCUAUUCUUUGUAUUACUUCUGAGUUAGGUGGUAAAACCUACAAUUCUAUGACCCCACGGGCUAUAUGGAUUCCGCCCUUAACUCGGCAGCCAAGCCCCCAACCCAAGUUUGCGGCAAGAGUUGGAGUUUCUAAUUCUUGUAUGCCACAGCGCAUAAGGCCAGCGUAUAGUCCCCCUUGGGGACAUAAUAACCCAUAUCGACAAAAUAUGAUUUCGGGCAAUGAGUUAUCUGAACUUGAUCCUCUUUCGGGUAACCAUAUAACAUCUCUUUAUGCCCAUUUUAAACUUUUUUGAACAUCAAAAUUUAAGAUCCUAAGUUCUGAAAAAUCUGAAUGAAAACUAAUUUCUAUUGUUAUUCUAAGUCUGUUAUGGAAUUAUCUAUUUUGGUGUCGUCACACCAAGACUUAAAAGUCCUAUAUCUGUGCCAUAUGGUACAAUAAAUGAUUCUUCCAUUCUAAACAAUGUUCAGAAUCUCAACAUGCAAAUAGUAUAAGAAAAUUCAUAUAUCAAAACACGAGUUAAAACCAUAUAAAGAUCUUUAUCCUUUCAACAAUUUUCAACAAAUAGUGGUCCAUUCAUCAAGAACAUUUAUGAAAAUCCCUUCAUUCAUCAUUUAUAACAUUUAACUCAUAAUAUCAUUCCUCUCUCCAAUUCUCAACCAUCAUAAAAGUUCAAGUAAGAUAAUAAGGCUCUUGACUCAUCAUUUAAAUCAUGCAAGUUUAGGAACUCAUAACUUGUAAAUCAAGUAGUUACACACUGGGAGAUGAAAGGAUUCGAUAAUUCAUGCUCUCAAUUCAUAUUUCAAAAAACUUCAACACAUACGUACAUAUAUACUAGUCAAAUCACCUUCAAGGGAAGGCCUCAAGACCAAAACAAUAUUAUCAAGGGCUUCAAAAGCAUGAUUAUAAUUGUGAAUCCAAAACCCUUUUUGUAAGUUCAUGAUUUCUAAACCUUUAACAUCAUUAAGAGGAAAUUUCUAUGCCCAUGUAAUUUUAGGAGAACCCCACAUACCUUAAGUAGUUUAAUUUGAGAAUUGAAACUCCAAUCUUGACACUCUUCUUGAAUUCAUGAACUUAGGAUAUGGACUCUUGAUCUUUGGAAGAGAGGUUAGGGUUUUUGAAACUCCAAUCUUAACACUCUGCCCUAAAAAUGCUUUAAUCCUUAGAUAAUACGAUUAGAAAUGGUGGGGAAAAGACGAGAUUGUCCUCGGACUUAAAAGCUGUUAACCAAAUCCCAUUUUUGAGGCUUACCAUGAUGCGCUGAUGGGGUCAUCGCGAUAACCAUCGCGACGCGGUGGAAUCACUGUGACUCACUAGAUUCUGAUAAUUUUCAUUUUGGGGUUCACCAUAACGUGGUGCAAUCAAGAUGAGUUUUUGGAAAUUGACAAAUGCUGAAUUCGCCUCCAUCACGAUGCGGUGAGGCUUCCAUUGCUAUUUCCACCGUGAUGCGGGGGAAUUGCGGUGGCUUGCUGGAAUGAAAAAUCCAACCAAAUUUUAAACGCUCAUUAAGACUUAGUUAAUAGAAAGGAUUUUGGAACAUUAACGCGUAGAAAUAACGGUCUAUAUUCUAGCCUGAAAUACGGGUCAUUACAUUAUCCCACCUUGGGAUCAUUCAUACCUGAAUGAUGACUUGGGACACAACAAGCACGAUUAAAAAAAUUAAGUAAAAGAAAAGGAGUAGUAUAGGAUUUUGUACCUUCUAAAUCAUCAUCCAUGGCCACAUAAAGUGUCGGGUACCUCGCAUGCAUAUCAUCUUCGGACUCCCAAGUAGCCUCCUCAGCUUUUUGAUUCCUCCAAAGCACCUUAACCGUAGCUAUUUCCUUACUCCUCAACUUUUGAACUUGUCUAUCCAAGAUUGCAACAAGUUUUUCCUCAUACAACAAGGAGUCUUUUACAUUGAUCUCCUCCACAUGCAACACUAGGGAAUAAUAUCCAAUGCACUUUUUCAACAUGGACAAAUGAAAAAUUGGAUGAACGGAAGCCAGACUUGCAGGAAAUUCUAACUCAUAAGCAACCCCACCUAUACUUCUUACAAUCAGAUAUGGUCCUAUAUAGCGAGGUCUCAAAUUCCCUUUCUUCCUGAAUCGCAUGACUCCAUUCAUAGAGGAGAAUUUUAAAAACACGCAAUCACCAACCUCAAAUUCCAGCUCCCUUCUCCUAACAUCAACAUAUGAUUUCUGGUGACUCUGAGCUGUCUUAAGUCGUUCUCUAAUGAUUUACCUUCUCCACUGCCUGAUGAAUAAGAUUAGUCCCAAACAACCAUAUCUCACACACUUCAUACAUAGGUGAUCUACAUCUUCUCCCAUAAAGUGCUUCAAAAGGAACUAUCUUAAUGAUGGCAUGGUAGCUAUUUUUGUAGCGAACUCUAUCAAUGGCAAAUGAUCUACCCAACUACCCUUGAACUCAAUUAUAUAGGCCCUCAAUAGGUUCUGAAUGGUGCAUUCAGGUUGUCCAUCGGUCUGAGCGUGGAAUGUAGUACUAAGGUUCACUUGGGGGCCUAAACCCCUCUAAAAAAGAUUGCCUAAACUGGGAAAAGAAUUGCGUACCUCGAUCGGGUAUAAUUGAUACAGGUACCCCCAGCAACCAAACUAUUUCCUUGAUGUAUAGCUUGGCAUAAUCAUCUCCCGAAUAGUUAGUCCUCAUAGGUAGAAAGUGAGCUGACUUGGUCAUCUGGUCCAAAAUUACCCAAAUGGAAUCAUAUUGCUUUCGAGACCUCGGAAGUCCCGUGAUGAAGUUCAUAUUGACCAUCUCCCGCUUCCAUAUAGGCAAAGCUACCUCUUGGGAAGUACCAUGUGGUCUAAAAUGUUCCACUUAAACUUGUUGGUAAUUCAAACACUUGGAAACAAAAUCAGCAAUAUCACAUUUCAUAUUAUUCCACCAAUAUAUAGCAUUAAGAUCAUGGUACAUUUUAGUAGAGCCUGUGUGAACAACAUACCUUGAAGUGUGAGCCUCAUCGAGGAUCCUCUCUCGCAAACCAUCCACAUUCGGUAUACACAGCUUGCCCUGGUACCUCAAAAUACCAUCAUUUCUAAUUUCAAAAGACAUCACCUUCUGUUGACCCAGAUCUUUCUUAAUUUGCAUCAAGAUAGGAUCCUCAUCCUUCUUCUCCUUAACUUCCGCACAUAGGAAAAAUUUAGCUAUUUCAUGCAUAACUAAUCCUCCAUCUUCAGAAUCCAGAAGUCACACCUCUAGAUUUGCAAGGUGGUGAAUAUCUUUCACCAUCUCCCUCUUUCCUUCCUCAUUAUGAGAAAGACUACCCAUUAAUAAUCUUCUGAGGGCGUCGGACACAAUGUUUGCCUUGCCCGGAUGAUAGUGCAGGCUCAUAUCAUAGUCCUUCAACAAUUCUGACCACCGUUUCUGCCUGAGAUUAACUUCUUUCUAUGAGAAUACAUACUGCAAACUUUUGUGGUCAGUAAAUAUAUCAACAUGUACCCCAGACAAAUAAUGCCGCAAAAUUUUAAGUGCAAACAUCACAACCGCUAACUCCAAAUCACGGGUGGGGUAAUUUCGCUCAUGCACCAUUAACUGUCUAGAUUCAUAAGGUACCAGCUUACCAUGCUGCAUAAGUACACAUCCAAGUCCUACUCGGGAUGCAUCACAAUACACCAAAAAACCCUCUGUACCCACCGAAAGAGUCAAAAUAGGUGCAGUAGUCAACUUGUCUUUCAACUUCUCAAAACUAUUCUCACAAGAGUCAGAACACACAAAUUUCACCUUUUUCUACGUCAACCUAGUAAGUGGAGUAACUAUGGAACAAAAACUCUCUACGAAUCUUCUGUAAUACCCUUCUAAAACCAAGAAGGUUUGAAUGUCGAUUGGAGUUGUGGGUUUGGGCCAUUUUCUCACUGCCUCAAUCUUUUGGGGAUCAACCUUAAUUACCUCACUAAACACAAUAUGCCACAAAAAUGCAAUAGCACUAAGCCAGAAUUCACACUUUGAAAAUUUUCAUACAAUUUAAGAUCUUUGAGGGUCCGAAGAAUAAUUCGAAGGUGAUUGACAUGAUCCUCCUCACUCUAAGAAUAAAUCAAAAUGUCGUCAAUGAAAACUAUGACAAACAGAUCUAAAAACUGAUGGAACACCCUAUUCAUUAGGUUCAUGAAGGUUGCAGGGGUGUUAGUAAACCCGAAGGACAUGACUAAGAAUUCAUAAUGGCCAUAUCAAGUUCGAAAAGCUAUUUUUGGAAUAUCUUCCUCCCUAACCUUCAAUUAAUGAUACCUAAAUGAAGUUCUAUCUUGGAGAAAAACCUAGCACCCUGAAGUUGGUAAAAAAAAUCAUCAAUUCUAGGAAGAGGGUAUUUGUUCUUAACAGUGACCUUAUUCAGCUGACGGUAGUCUAUACACAUGCAAAGGGAACUAUCUUUCUUAUACAUGAAGAGUACAGGUACACCCCAUGGAGAAACACUAGGACGAAUAAAACCCUUGUCAAGAAGAUCUUUUUACUGUUCUUUAAACUCUUUCAAUUCUAAAGGAGCCAUUUUGUAUGGUGGAAUAAAAAUAGGACAAGUAUCCGUCAAGAAGUCAAUACCAAAAUCUAUCUCCCUAUCAAGUGGUAUUAUUGGAAGUUCAUCAGGAAAGACUUCUAGAAAUUUAUUAACCACAGGGAUAGACUGAAGAGAAGGGCUUUUGAUAUUUGAAUCCUUAACCUGAAUAAGAUAAUACAAACAACCUUUGGAAAUAAGCUUACGGGCUCUGAGAUAAGAAAUAAAUUUCCCUUUAGGUUCGAAAGAAUACCCCUCCCACUCUAUCACAAGUUUGUUUGGAAAAAAGAAAGUAACCCUCCGAGUUCUACAGUCUAGGAUGGCGUAGCAUGAGUGAAGCCAAUCCAUUCCUAAUAUAGCAUCAAAGUCAAGCAUGUCAAGCUCUAUAAGGUCUGCCAUAGUAUCAUGAUUAUAAAUAGACACUUCACAAUUUUUUUAUACCCACCUAGACACAACAUAAUCACCUACAUGAGUGGAAACAGAGAAAGGUUCUGAAAUAACUUCGGGCUCAAAAACAAAAUCGACUACCACAUAUGAGGCAACAUAAGAUAAGGUAGACCCGGGAUCAAGUAACACAUACACAUCACGGGAGAAAAUUUGUAACAUACCCGUGACUACAUCUGGUGAGGCCUCUGCCCCUGGCAAUUUGAUAAAUCAUACAACCAAUUGCGGCCACUCCUAAUAGCUGAAUAUCACGAUCCAAACUGAGGCCCUGGCUGUGACAAGCAUUCUGAACCAUGAAGGCUUGAACACCCUUGUCUAUCUGAUAGUCAUGCACAAUAUUCAUACAAUAAAGUAAGAUGCAGAAAUAUAACAUAAUACAAAAUCAUGGUCAUACUCUAAACUGAAUUUAACGAUAAGAAAUUUAAAAUAAAAUAACUCUAGACAAUAUCUAAACUAGUCGUGAAAUCUCUAUUACAUGCUAAAAUAACAACUGUCUGAAUCUGGGACAAGUCCCCCAGUAGACCUAAAACAAAAUAAUAACAUAGUCUGGAAUAAACAGUACUUCUGGAAUAAAGAAGGCUCACCACUGAACAGUCUCUUCUCUUUGAAAUCUCUACUUCUUAGUCGGACCUCUAGAUUGAGCUUCAAAUCCUGAGAGAUAGGGGUCAAUACAGUUGUACUGGUACGCAGAGAAAAUCCAAAAUAAUAAUUUUUAUUCAACAUAUAUAAGAGCUAUUUAAAACAGUUCAUAAAUAUAUCAUAUGUUAAGAAUCACAUGGGCAUAUUUAAAAGACUAUAAAAUCAUCUGAACUUUGUGACAUACUCUUUGUUUUACUUCUGCGCUAGGUGGAGUACCCUAUAAUUCUGUAAUUCCAUGGGCUAUAUGGAAUCUGGCCUUAACUCGGCAGCUAAGCCCCCAACCCAAGUUUUCCAUAAGGGUCGGAGUCUCUGAAUCUCUAAUACACCACAGGGCCGUCGCCAGCGUAUAAAAGUAACAUGCCUGUAUCGGCAAAACACAAUUUUAGGCUAUGAGCCGUUUAGCUCAUGCCCUCUUCGGAUAACUACCUAACCCUCUAUAAGCCUAUUUUUAAUUCUUUACAACAUGUAAUCUUUAAAGUCAGACUCUGAAGACUUAUGUGCAGUUAUGGCAUAAAUUUAUAUGGUAUCGUCAUACCAUUAACUUGCAAGUCACAUUCUCUGAGCCAUUUAUAGCAACUUAUGUCUCUAUUCUCAAAUCAUGGAAUUUAGGACCACCAUAUCAACAAUUCUUUUCAAGAAACUCAUUCUUUAUAACUCAUGUAAAACCAAGCAAGAAAUUCUCUUUAUCAACAAUUCAAUAAACAAAGGUGGUCAUGUCAAAAUUCUUAAUAUCAUGCAAUUUUUUCUCUUUAACACAAAACAUAGUUAUAUCAAGAAACAUCCUAUCAUCAUCUCUAAAUCAUGUUCAAAUACUAUGACAUUGAGAAAACUACUUUCAAUCAUAAAAAUGCAUUUCAACUCUUUUCCAACAAAACCUUAAACUUCAAUUCAAUACAAGAGAGGGAGUUCAUAAUUUGCUCUCUCACACAAUCUUCAAUCUCAAUUUUCAUACUUAUACAUAUACAUGUAAAUCAAUUUAGGGGAAAGGACCACAAGGCCAAAGCAAUAGUAACAUUGAAACAUUCGGAAUACAUAAUUUAAAACAUAGAUUCCAAAACCCUUUUAAAAUUCAUGCUUAAUAAUCAUAAAAUCAUGCUCUAGUGUUUUCAAGCCUAUGUAGUUUUUAGGAUAAACCCCACAUACCUUAGACUAUUAGAGUUGAAAGAUGAAACCUAUAUCUUGAUAGAUGGAACCCGGAUCUUGAUCCUUUUCUUGGAGUCUUGAACUUAACAUCUUGAUUCUUGAUCUUGAGGGAAAGGAUUUAGGGUUUUAAUUUGAGAGGAAAAAUUGAAUUAUGGAGUGUAUUCUUCUUUUGAGGCAUGAAUAUUAUGCUAUGGACAGACCUUGGGUGAGGUAAAGGUCCAAAUUUCCCUUAAAAAUGUGAAAAAAUAACCUGAAAUUAGGUGUGCACGAUGAAGCGUGCGUCGCACGCUAAUCGCGUGUAGCUACUGCCUCUCUCACGAAAAUGGCUGUAACUUUUUGCUCGGGUAUUAGAUUUUGGAGAAAUUGGUAUAGUUAGAAAGACACUUUGAAGAAUUUUCAUUUGAUGUAUAGUAGGCCCUCUAAUUCGAUAUAUACAAGAAGUUAUGGUCGAUGAAAGUUAACCCAAGUUUAAACAUCCAUCGAAACUAAAUUGCUAGAUAUGUUUUCAACUCGUCUUAGAGUUAGGAGAUUUAUAUGACCUCAAUUCAAAUUCAAAGGUAUUCCCACUCUAUAGGAUUGAUAACCACACAUAUUUUAAGAAGGAAUUAUCUAUUUUGGGUCUAUACGCAUAGGAAUAAUGGUCUAGAUUCUAGGCCGAAAGUAUGGGGUAUUACACUGAAGUAGGGUCUCUGGGAGGUAGUGGUGGCAUGGAGGAGUUUGCUUGGGACUUAGAACCAUCGAAUUUACUUCUAGAGGAAGGACAAUAUCUCUGAAAAUGGCCUGGCUGACCACAUGUAUAACAUACCAACCUGCCCAGUUGGCACCUCCUUGGGUGAUGCUUACCGCAGAUCUCAUACCGCGGAAAGGUCCGAUACGGCUGAGCCACACUACCCUGGGACUGGGUACCCUGUGCUCCGAAUCCAUGGCUAGGGUGAAAAUUUUGAGAUCGUCGGUCAAUUGGAGGUCUGGGUGCUAGUGCGCUAGCUGCAGGCUGAGCAUUUCCCCAAAACUUUUUCUUCUGCCACCUGUUCCCCCAAUUACCACCCUGCGGCUGACUAUUGUUCUGGCCCUUUUUGACUGUCUAUCCUUCUCCCUUGCUUCAACAACACUCUUUUUUUGCUCAUCAACCUACUGCAUAUGAAUGGACAAUCCGGAGAAGUCCAUAUCUCUGUUCAACAUUGCCCCUUUUCACUCCAACACCAAUUCAUCCGAAAGACCAUAUGCAAACUUCCUCAUAUAGGCCCUCAUGUUUCCUGCCAAUUUUGGAGAAUAACGGGAGAGUUGACUGAAAUUCAGGGUGUACUCCUUGACGCUCAUCUGUUCCUGUUUCAAAUUCAUAAACUCUUUAGACUUGGACUCUCUCAACUCCUGGGGAAAGAAUCGGUCCAGGAAAGCUUCCACAAAUUUACCCCAUACAUAACGCUCAGCUUUUUGACCCCUCGAAUCUUCCCACUCAUUGUACGACUUAUUUGCUACCUCCUUCAGUUGAUAAGCCACUAGUUCAAACCCUUUCACUUCAUUCAUAUGCAUCACUCAAAAUAUUUUUUCCAUUUCAUCCAUAAACUCUUGUGGAUCCUCCUCUACCUUUGUACCCAUAAACUUAGGCAGGUUCAAUAUCAUAAACUGACCCACCCGUGUAGUCUCAGAUGCACCAGAUGUAGAGCCAACAUCCUCCAACCGUUGGGUCUAUGAAGCUAUCAACUAUGAAAUCAUAUACAUCAAUUGUCUGAACUCAACAUUUGAUAUUUCUCUCUGGGUAGGUUGGGUGUGGUUGGUCCUAGACCGAAGAACCCUAGGUGCCCUAGGUGGACUGGUUUGAAUAGGAGGGGCUCCCAGAGCAGUAACAAAUUUAGAAGUGUGAGCCCUGUUAUGUGUCCUCAUUUUGUGGGUAGGACAGACAUCUUAUGUUUGAGUAUUCUGAUCAUUGGAGCGACGUGGAGGCAUGAUAGCUUUUCUGAAAUACAAGAGACCAUUGAUUAGGGGACAUUCAGACUCUACAGCACGAGCUAAAUCACAAAGAAGGGAGACAUUCCUAAACGCCUAGUAGCCUCUUACUUAUAAGUGUGGCGUGCUACACGCCCAUAAACAAGACUCUACCCGAUGCGAUUUUGCAGACACCCUGGGACCAUGAACCAUUCUUUGAUACCAAGUUUGUCAUAACCCGAGUCAGGACCCUAGCCGUGAUGAGCAUCCCAAACCAUAUAGACUAAGAUGGCCCUUUCUCUCUGGUACUCAUGAACACCAUUCAUAACAAUAAGAAAAAAAAUGUGGAAUACCACAAAUGGAAUCAUGGUCAUAAUCUGAGUUCUGUUUAACAGUAUGAAAAUAAGUUAAUCAACAUCUAGACAUUAUCUAUUUGAGUCUGUGAAAUCUCUAAUACAUACUACACUGUCAAACUGUCUGAAAUUGAGACAAGGCCCCAAUGGAGCUAAACCAAAGUAAAUAACAAGUAUCUGGAAAGAAAUAAGCCUUCCAGAAUAAAGAAGGCUCACCAACUGCACACUUCUAUCUGAAUAACUCUACGGCUUAGCAGGACCUCUGGACUGAGCCUCA
Molecule: long non-coding RNA, 18972 nt
Filed under: Capsicum annuum
Lineage: Eukaryota; Viridiplantae; Streptophyta; Magnoliopsida; Solanales; Solanaceae
Description: long non-coding RNA (CANN_LNC007602)
Source: RNAcentral